AUGUGUCGCCCCAUCGGGCCGCAGCGCCGCCGCCCAGUGAUUCUCCCUGUGGCUGCACUGAUUCACGCUGUCGCUGCAUCGCCCCUUCGGGCCAUAGCGUCGCGACACGUGGUCCCCGCCGUCACCCUGAGGUUGUUCCCAUGGUUGCACCACAUCACGCGCUGCCGUUGCGUCACCUUUUCGGGCCGUAGUGCCGCGGCCCGCGGUCAACCACCACACCGAGGCCAUCUGCUCCUGAGCACUUGCAAGCUCUUGGAGUCUUUGCGCUUAACCCAUUGCGACUUAGGGAUCCAUUCCAUGCUGCAAGUAGAGCAUGCUCGACUUAUUGAGCUCGAGGUUGACAAUGGGAAAUUUGAGAGAGUUGAGCUGACAUGUCUGCCAAAACUCCAACAGAUCUGGGUUAUCCCAGAAAGCCCGGAACUGCUCAUCCCUAUGCUCAGCAAACUACAACAUGUGAAUUUGGAUCAUGUUCCCGAAGGAUGUGAUUUAGCUUGGACAAUGUUUAUUCUUGAAGCUGCACCCUCCCUUAAAGAGUUGUGCAUCACAUGGGAUCAUUAUUGCAUCAUGUUCACAGGCGCAGAGUUCCAAAAGGAAAAUGGUUUGUGCGACAAGGCAGAUCUGAAGUGGAAGCCAUAUGCCCCUGGUUUCAAGCACAAGAAUCAGGUUAAGCUCACCAUCUAUGGCUUCCAGCCCGACGACAACUUUGUGCGAUACAUGAGGUGUCUCGCGGAAGCUGCGGUUAAUAUGGCAGAGAUAUCUCUACACGACCGGAAGGUCUGUGGGCACUGUGGUGACUUGGAUCUUGAGGUCAAGGACAAGAUUUGUCCAUCGAGAUAUCCACGAACCGCUGAGGAGAAGAACGAGGUAACUGAGGUGUUGGGUUUGGCUUCGCGGGCUGUAGUUCACUUCUGGUCCUAA
RNAcentral lists this ribosomal RNA (918 nucleotides) under Triticum aestivum (bread wheat). RNAcentral's name for it is "partial small subunit ribosomal RNA". The record is from RNAcentral. Lineage: Eukaryota; Viridiplantae; Streptophyta; Magnoliopsida; Poales; Poaceae.